RNAcentral lists this transfer RNA (73 nucleotides) under Chlamydia gallinacea 08-1274/3. RNAcentral's name for it is "tRNA-Met". It matches the Rfam family "tRNA". Rfam says of the family: Transfer RNA (tRNA) molecules are approximately 80 nucleotides in length. Their secondary structure includes four short double-helical elements and three loops (D, anti-codon, and T loops). RNAcentral also lists the same sequence under 5 other names. Lineage: Bacteria; Pseudomonadati; Chlamydiota; Chlamydiia; Chlamydiales; Chlamydiaceae. The record is from RNAcentral.
CGCGGGAUAGAGUAGAGGUUAUCUCGUUGGGCUCAUAACCCAAAGAUCGGAGGUUCGAAUCCUUCUCCCGCUA